UAUCUGCACAUACUUCCCACACGGGGUUUUUGCAUACCAGGUUUGAAAAACCACGGACAUGGUGCAAGCUGAAGUUGACUUCUGCUGCAAACUAGUCAAAUGUGUUUGCACAACUUUUCUAGCAUUCUCCAGCCUCCCCAAAGCCUCACCACCAGAGAACAGUGUCUCCUUCAACCUCUGAUGCUAUCAGAAGAGCCUGUUCUUUAUGGGCAGCAUUCAAGGAGGAUCCGUGUCACUGGAAUGAGAAUGAAGGUCCUCUCAUCACUUGACUCGUUUUACAUUUCUCUUGGAAAAGUUAUCUUUCUGGGAAUCAUUGUUCCUCCACUUUUCAAGAAGGGAUUUCAAUAAAACUUGGAAAUUUGAAUGUAGAUUUCAAAGAUCUGUGUUUGAAAAUGUGAAAUUAAGUUCAGUCAUCAGGCAAUACUGACCAAAAGUGUCUUUUGUUUGGUUUCUUGAUAACAAAGCUUCAAGAUAAAAUAAACAGAAUGUUGCUUAAGUUGAU
This is a long non-coding RNA of Pygoscelis adeliae (Adelie penguin), 502 nucleotides long. RefSeq lists it as uncharacterized. NCBI's taxonomy places the organism in Eukaryota, Metazoa, Chordata, Aves, Sphenisciformes, Spheniscidae. The transcript has 2 exons. The record is from RefSeq and is a predicted model, not a curated record.